RNAcentral lists this ribosomal RNA (497 nucleotides) under uncultured bacterium. RNAcentral's name for it is "partial 16S ribosomal RNA". It matches the Rfam family "Bacterial small subunit ribosomal RNA", at positions 28 to 507 of the family's 1533-position model. The record is from RNAcentral.
GAUGAACGCUGGCGGCGUGCCUAAUACAUGCAAGUCGAGCGAACGGACGAGAAUCUUGCUUCUCUGAUGUUAGCGGCGGACGGGUGAGUAACACGUGGAUAACCUACCUAUAAGACUGGGAUAACUUCGGGAAACCGGAGCUAAUACCGGAUGAUAUUUUGAACCGCAUGGUUCAAAAGUGAAAGACGGUCUUGCUGUCACUUAUAGAUGUAUCCUCGCUGCAUUAGCUAGUUGGUAAGGUAACGGCUUACCAAGGCAACGAUGCAUAGCCGACCUGAGAGGAUGAUCGGCCACACUGGAACUGAGACACGGUCCAGACUCCUACGGGAGGCAGCAGUAGGGAAUCUUCCGCAAUGGGCGAAAGCCUGACGGAGCAACGCCGCGUGAGUGAUGAAGGUCUUCGGAUCGUAAAACUCUGUUAUUAGGGAAGAACAUAUGUGUAAGUAACUGUGCACAUCUUGACGGUACCUAAUCAGAAAGCCACGGCUAACUACGUG